This 337-nucleotide ribosomal RNA is filed under the name uncultured Anaerolineaceae bacterium. RNAcentral's name for it is "bacterial SSU rRNA". It matches the Rfam family "Bacterial small subunit ribosomal RNA", at positions 1031 to 1382 of the family's 1533-position model. The record is from RNAcentral. Lineage: Bacteria; Bacillati; Chloroflexota; Anaerolineae; Anaerolineales; Anaerolineaceae.
UAUACAGGUGUUGCAUGGCUGUCGUCAGCUCGUGUCGUGUAGAUGUUCGGUUAAGUCCGCUAACGAGCGCAACCCUCGUCGUAUGUUAUAUGUGUCAUACGAGACUGCCGGUAAAAGCCGGAGGAAGGUGAGGAUGAUGUCAAGUCAGCAUGACCUUUAUAUCCAGGGCUACACACACGCUACAAUGGUCUGUACAAUGGGUAGCCAAGCCGCGAGGCGGAGCCAAUCCUGAAAGCAGGCCUCAGUUCAGAUUGCAGUCUGCAACUCGACUGCAUGAAGCCGGAGUUGCUAGUAACCGCAGGUCAGCAAUACUGCGGUGAAUACGUUCCCGGGUCUU